AUUGAACGCUGGCGGAAUGCUUUACACAUGCAAGUCGAGCGGCAGCGCGGGGCAACCUGGCGGCGAGCGGCGAACGGGUGAGUAAUGUAUCGGAACGUAUCCUUAAGUGGGGGACAACUAGUCGAAAGACUAGCUAAUACCGCAUACGAUCGAGAGAUGAAAGUGGGGGACCGCAAGGCCUCACGCUUUUGGAGCGGCCGAUAUCCGAUUAGCUUGUUGGUGAGGUAAAGGCUUACCAAGGCUAUGAUCGGUAGCUGGUCUGAGAGGAUGAUCAGCCACACUGGGACUGAGACACGGCCCAGACUCCUACGGGAGGCAGCAGUGGGGAAUUUUGGACAAUGGGGGCAACCCUGAUCCAGCCAUUCCGCGUGAGUGAAGAAGG
This 382-nucleotide ribosomal RNA is filed under the name uncultured bacterium. Its description in RNAcentral is "bacterial SSU rRNA". It matches the Rfam family "Bacterial small subunit ribosomal RNA", at positions 30 to 414 of the family's 1533-position model. The record is from RNAcentral.